GACGAACGCUGGCGGCGUGCUUAACACAUGCAAGUCGUACGGUAAGGCCCUUUCGGGGGUCCACGAGUGGCGAACGGGUGAGUAACACGUGAGUAACCUGCCCACAACUUUGGGAUAACGCUAGGAAACUGGUGCUAAUACUGGAUAUGUGCUCCUGCUGCAUGGUGGGGGUUGGAAAGCUCCGGCGGUUGUGGAUGGACUCGCGGCCUAUCAGCUUGUUGGUGGGGUAGUGGCCUACCAAGGCGGCGGCGGGUAGCCGGCCUGAGAGGGUGACCGGCCACAUUGGGACUGAGAUACGGCCCAGACUCCGACGGGAGGCAGCAGUGGGGAAUAUUGCAAAAUGGGCGCAAGCCUGAUGCAGAAACGCCGAGUGCGGGAUGACGGCCUUCGGGUUGUAAACCGCUUUCAGCAGGGACGAAGCUUUUUGUGACGGUACCUGCAGAAGAAGCACCGGCUAACUACGUG
Molecule: ribosomal RNA, 465 nt
Filed under: uncultured bacterium
Lineage: Bacteria
Description: partial 16S ribosomal RNA
Rfam family: Bacterial small subunit ribosomal RNA
Source: RNAcentral